Molecule: long non-coding RNA, 996 nt
Organism: Daphnia pulicaria
Lineage: Eukaryota; Metazoa; Arthropoda; Branchiopoda; Diplostraca; Daphniidae
Exons: 5
Source: RefSeq, a predicted model, not a curated record
GCGUGUGUGUGUGUGUGUAUUGCGUUUGCUCUCGGGAGAUUAUCGCUGUUAUUACGCUUAUUAACUUAGGAGGUUAUCGCCCAUGUCUCCGUCGUUCACUCAACUUGUUCUCUCUGUUUUUAAUCCCCGACAUUUCUGUUUUGUAAAGAGAAAAGCAAACGAGGAGGCAAACAAGAUAGGCGAGAGAUCACUUCAGACUUUGCACCAAGUCUGAACCUUUGAUCAAAAUGGAAAUGUAUGUGUGUACGUUUGCUGUGUGUGUGUUAAUCCACCCGUUUUUUCACGACAGCCUUGAUGGCAUUCCUUUGUUUUUUUAUCUUUUAUUCUCUCUCAAAGGUUGUUCCAAGGACCUGCGUUCAUCUUUGGAGGUCAAGACAAUUUGAAGUUUCUCCGAGACAGCCGAAAACGAGAUGUGAUGGGACGUCCCGUUGCUAUUAGUUGGGGGCCGUUAUUUUAAAACAUUUUCAGCUGAUGCCAUGAUUGGAACGACUGCUUUUCGUACAUGAAAUGUGUGCAGAGGCGGUGCAUAUUUGAGCAAACUUCUCAUGAGGACAGAGGACAGGGAAACACGGAAAUAACUGGCGGACAUGUUUGAAAAAAGUGGAGAAAUGGCAAGAGGUGGAAAAAAUAUUACAAGAAAGUAGAGACCACGUUCAAUGGGACGGAGAGAAAUUUGUGCCCAAACCGAUGCAACUCAGCCCAAUUUGGCCAAAUUUCGUGAUUCCCCAAUCGUUUCAGGAUCGCAACGUUCGUGUCCGUUACACGACCGCUGAACUGUCGGCGCCAAUCAAAAUGAUGGAACACGCAGAAUUGACUGUCACUCCCACCUCGUGUGAAGAUCUGCAGAGAAUGGGACACAAACUGAGCGGAUUUUAUUCCGUCAAGGGAUCGAAGAAGAUGGAAACCGUUUACUGUGAAUUCUAUCCCAAUCAAAAUGACUAAACAGAAAUGGAUCGGAUACACUGACGUCGAUUCGGCGUCCGUCCAUUUCUACGU